Molecule: long non-coding RNA, 279 nt
Filed under: Elaeis guineensis (African oil palm)
Lineage: Eukaryota; Viridiplantae; Streptophyta; Magnoliopsida; Arecales; Arecaceae
Description: long non-coding RNA (EGUI_LNC019223)
Source: RNAcentral
GUUUGAGAUUGUAUUUAUCAAUUUUAAUUUGAAAGAUGUAACUUUUUUUUAUAAUUUUUUUGAUUUCUAAAGUAACAAUAGAAUCAUCAUCUUUCUGCCCGAAAAAAAAUAUACAACUCGAUAUCAUCAAGUAAUUUAUUAGAUGAAUAAAAUAUGAAAUAUAUACUGUAUGUACCUUAUCCAUGCAUAAUUCUUUAGUUGAUUUGCCUAUUAACCGUUGAGCGACUUUAUCAAAAAAGACAAACGAUGUAAAUCCAGUAUAAUCCUCCACAUAAUAUU